AAAUAAUAAAAAAGAAGAAAUUGAAAUGAACCAAAAAAAGGGCUAGGGUUAAUCAAAAACGACGAUCCCAAUCCCUUCUCUCAAGAAUCUCGCGGCGGCGUCCUCUCCAUCUCCGAUCGGAGAUUCCUAACACCACCAUGAACUCGUCGCACCUUGUCCACUCUCGUCUUCAAUUUCUCUAUUCUCUCUGCCUCAGCUUCGCUCAAAUUGGGAGACGAUUGGAGAAAUGACAACGAUACAUAAAGAUGAGGAAUGAAUGAUAUGUGAGCUUACCUGGGAUGACGAUCGAGGACGAUGGAACAGAAGACCAGAGAGGAGGAACCGAAGCAAACUUGUGCGAAAUAAACGCAUCAAGCGGAGAAUUUCUUCAGGGAGCUUUUGGUUCGGUUCGACGCGUGCGGCUUGGUUAUAUUGUGAACCAGGGUACUGAUGCGACUUUUGGUGUUGGUAUUGAACGCUUUUUGUUGUUGACUGAAUUUGCAAAAAUAAUUAAAUGUGGUGUCAGCUUUGGAUUGUGAAUUGAAUGAAGGUAUAAUUGGUUUUGAAUGUAUUGGGCUAUUGAGGAAUUGUGCACGGAUGGGUUGGUAUGCAAAAGGCUGUUAGCACACUGAUGGAGCAGCUAGGUUACUGGUGAAAUGUUAUUGUUAACCGGGUUGUCAUGAGGAUGGUUUAGAAUUGGGUUGGUCAAUGAUGUACAUGGGGCUGCAGCUAGGAGUUAGAGCGUUUCUCUCUUAUAAGUUUUUUGUAGUUAUUUGAUGGUUUGCUGCAUCAUUUGAACUGAAUUUAAAUGAUGUAUGUAUUGUUUUUUUUUUUUUUUUUUGGUUUCAGUCUGAAGUGAAUACACUGGCUGGUCUUAUUAAUGCAGGGCAUGAUUGACUCAUCUUGAAGUGUUUAUGAAUGGAAAGUGGUGAUUGACUAGAAGAAUUGGAGAAAAAGGAAGAUGGGUUAAAAAUUGGAAGAUAAUGAAGCUUGAAGCUUAGGAAUAAUAGUUUAGUGAUAGGUGACAUGAAAGUCAAGAGGUCACUUGGUCAUGGUCUGGUCAACAGAGUCAGUGGUCAACAGUUGACCAAAAGUCAACUGUUGACCAAAAAGUCAACCAUUGUAAAAAUGUAUAACUUGUAAUUUACUGUAGUCCCCUUUCUUUCUUUGUGUAAACUUUGUAGGACUAUGAACCAAAAUGAAACUUGUAAUCCAAGUAAUUGUAUUUUGCCUUUCCAUUUCACAUUUGAUUCAAAUUUUCCAAUUCUCCAAUCUUUGCACUCUUGAAUCAGAUGAUAUUAAAAUUAAGAUGAAAACCCCAAAGUAGUCUAAAGAUGAUUUCGAUCAAAAAGUCACCAAAAGUCAAAGCUCUUGCCAAAGCACCUUAACUUUAAUAAUAAUCCAUUACACAUUAUCUUCGCCUCAAAUUCUUGCAUGAAACCCAAUGCCAAUGACUUACCAUACCAAUAAUUAUGCGCCAAUCAUAAUUGAAGUAGCAUUACCAUUUUUAAACUCCAAGAGCA
Molecule: long non-coding RNA, 1502 nt
Organism: Vicia villosa (hairy vetch)
Lineage: Eukaryota; Viridiplantae; Streptophyta; Magnoliopsida; Fabales; Fabaceae
Exons: 4
Source: RefSeq, a predicted model, not a curated record